Molecule: ribosomal RNA, 2264 nt
Filed under: Corethron pennatum
Lineage: Eukaryota; Bacillariophyta; Corethrophyceae; Corethrales; Corethraceae
Description: partial Bacterial large subunit ribosomal RNA
Rfam family: Bacterial large subunit ribosomal RNA
Source: RNAcentral
ACGAGUAUAUAACAUGCUGUAAAUUUAUGAUACUCAUAAAACGGAAAACCGUCUUUUUAAUUAAAGAGCUUUAUUAUAUAAAUUAUAUGUUUUCUAUAUAGCAUAUAUAAAUGUAAAUAAUAUCGUUAAAAAUAGUGAAUUGAAUCAUCUAAUUAACUAAUUAAAAAAAUCAACCGAGAUGCCGUAAGUAGUGGCGAGCGAACAUGGCGAAGACACGAAAGAUUUACUAAUUUUAAAAUAAAUUUUUGCUGUUUAAAAGCAACAAAAAAUGCCGGAGAUAGGUUUAUGCAAAUUGUAUAUGUUUAGCCCUGUAAAAAAUAUUAUAUCUUCUUAAAAGUAAAAUAAUUUACGUAGAGUUAUUUGAAUAAUGGGGAACCAUCCUCAAAGUCUGAAAAAAAUUAAUGAUUGAUAACGAAAUAGUACCGUGAGGGAAAGGUGAAAUAGUAAUUUGUGAAUUUGAAAAAACCUGAAACUUAAUGCUGACAAUCAGUUGAAGCUUUUAGAAAAAGUAACAGCGUACCUUUUGUAUAAUGGACCAACUAGUUUAUUUUGGUGGCAAGCUUAAACCUAUGGUGUAGGCUAAAAGAAAUUAAGUAUGAAAGUGCAAAAGUCUCCGAAAUAAAACCCGAAACUAAGUGAUCUAACCAUGGCCAGGAUGAAAAUUUGUAGCGGUAACGCUUGUUGAAGGUCCGAACCCGUGUCUGUAGAAAAAGACUGGGAUGAGCUGUGGUUAGGGGUGAAAGGCUAAUCAAACUUAGAAAUAGCUGGUUUUCUGCGAAAUCUAUUUAAGUAGAGCAUUUAAAAAUUUUAUUUUAAAGGUAGAGCACUCAAUAAACUAAGGGAAUGUUACAUUUUACUGAAUUUAAUGAAACUCCGAAUUUUAAUUUUAAAAAUUUAAAUAGACAGACUGCGGGUGCUAAGAUCCGUACGUCUAAAGGGAUACAGCCCAGACUAUUCGUUAAGGUCCAAAAGAAAAAUUAAGUGAAAAAAAAGUGAAAAAGUAAUAACAACUAGUAAGUAGGCUUGGAAGCAGCCAUCUUUUAAAGAAAGCGUAACAGCUCAUUAGUCUAAUUUUUUUGCGUUGCAAAUGUAUAUGGACUUAAAUUAUUCACCGAAACGAUAGAUUUUGUUUUUAACAAAAUGGUAGCAGAACGUUCUGUAAAUUAAAAGAUUUAUAGUGAUAUAAAUUGAAGAAAUCAGAAUUGAAAAUGUUGGUAUGAGUAGCGAAAACAAUGUUUGAAACAUUGUCACCUUAAGUUCAAGGGUUUUGAAGUAAAGUUAAUCUUCUUCAGAAUAAAACGGCCCCUAAGAAAAAAAACGAAAGUUUUUUUUGAUGGGUUUUUGGUAAUAUUCCAUUUUUAAUUUUUAGUGACAAAGUAAAACAAUUAUUUUCAUUAAAUGGGUAUAAAUGAAAGUUUUCUAUUAUUUUCUGGAAACAGCUAAGAUUUUUUAAAAACCGUACCCUAAACCGACACAGGUGAACUGAUUAAAUAAAUUAAGGUGCUUGAGAAAACUAUAUUGAAGGAACUCGGCAAAAUAACUCCGUAACUUAGGGAGAAGGAGUAACGUUAAAAGGGCAACCUUUUAACGUUGUCACAGAAUUGAGGACAGCGACUGUUUAACAAAAACACAGGUCUCUGCUAAAUUUUAAAAAGAUGUAUAGAGACUGACGCCUGCCCGGUGCUGCAAGGUUAAUGUAAAAGGUUUUGGCUUCAAACUGAAGCCCCAGUAAACGGCGGCUGUAACUCUGACGGUCCAAAGGUAGCGAAAUUCCUUGGCAUUUAAUUGGUGUCCUUGCAUGAAUGGCGUAACGACUGUCCUACUGUCUCCAAUAUAGUCUCAGUGAAAUUGAAAUUUCUGUGAAGAUGCAGAAUAUUUACGGCUAGACGGAAAGACCCCGUGCACCUUUACUAUAAUCAUACAUUGUAAUAAACAUUCUUAUAUGUAGAAUAAGUGGAAGUUUAUAAAAACUUUUAUUUUUUAAAUAGUUUUCAAACGUUAAUGAAAUACCGCUUUUAAAAUUGUUUGUUACUAAUUUUUUAAAAAACAUUGUAUGACGGGUAGUUUGACUGGGGCGGUCGCCUCCUAAAAGGUAACGGAGGCGUACAAAGGUUUCCUCAGAUCGGUCAGAAAUCGAUCGUAGAGUGUAAAGGCAUAAGGAAGCUUGACUGUGAGACCUACAAGUCGAGCAGGGACGAAAGUCGGUCUUAGUGAUCUGACGGUACUGAGUGGAAAGGCCGUCACUCAACGGAUAAAAGUUACUC